RNAcentral lists this ribosomal RNA (312 nucleotides) under Triticum aestivum (bread wheat). Its description in RNAcentral is "partial small subunit ribosomal RNA". The record is from RNAcentral. Lineage: Eukaryota; Viridiplantae; Streptophyta; Magnoliopsida; Poales; Poaceae.
AUGGAGGUAACAUUCAACAUGGAGCUCAAGGACUUCAGCAGAUGUAUCCUUGAGAGAAAGGGUAUUGAGACGAAGACUAUAUGGGAGAUGCACCAAGCAAAAAUGAAGGAGAAGCAGAAAGGUAGAAAGAGGUGGCCAAAGGAUGAUGAUGACUAUAGCAGCAAAGAUAGCGCUGAUGAUUUCCUUGAUGAAAAGUUGUUUGAAGAAGCUAAGCCGAUGAAGAAACCAAAGGUGAAGGCCAAAGGGAAAGGAAAGACAAGGCUCCAGAGGAACAUUAUGAGCCAGAAGCAACUAAAGAGCCUGAGGAAGUGA